CCUACGGGAGGCAGCAGUGGGGAAUAUUGGACAAUGGGGGGAACCCUGAUCCAGCGACGCCGCGUGAGUGAAGAAGUAUUUCGGUAUGUAAAGCUCUAUCAGCAGGGAAGAAAGAAAUGAUGGUACCUGACUAAGAAGCCCCGGCUAACUACGUGCCAGCAGCCGCGGUAAUACGUAGGGGGCAAGCGUUAGCCGGAUUUACUGGGUGUAAAGGCAGCGUAGACGGUUACGCAAGUCUGGAGUGAAAGGCGGGGGCCCAACCCCCGGACUGCUUUGGAAACUGUAUAACUGGAGUGCAGGAGAGGUAAGUGGAAUUCCUAGUGUAGCGGUGAAAUGCGUAGAUAUUAGGAGGAACACCAGUGGCGAAGGCGGCUUACUGGACUGUAACUGACGUUGAGGCUCGAAAGCGUGGGGAGCAAACAGGAUUAGAUACCCUUGUAGUC
Molecule: ribosomal RNA, 443 nt
Filed under: uncultured bacterium
Lineage: Bacteria
Description: partial 16S ribosomal RNA
Rfam family: Bacterial small subunit ribosomal RNA
Source: RNAcentral